GCUUCUGCAGAAGAGGAGGAGAGGGCAGUGAGAGAUAGGAAUCUCCUCCAGGUUGAAGACCACGAUCAGCCCAUCCCUUGGAAAGUGCAGUUUAACCUGGGCUAUAGCAGUCGCCUGAGCAGCCAAUGCCUCAACUCCAGUCAAAGGAAGCACGUCCUCACGGGUGAACUAGGCUGCGUUUGGGAGAGAAAGUAUUUGCAGGCGCAUGGCUGCGGUCAAGUCAACGUCCCUAGCAUAAAGCAACACUGCCGCAAAGGCUGCUGGCCCGACGGCUGCUGCAGCGCCUCCUGGACUGCAUCUCCCGCCGCCUGCAGCCCAGACACAAUUUCUCCCGGAGCGCUUCUAACCGCGCAGCGGUGGCGUUCCAGAGACUCUUCAUGGCCCUUGCUCUCGAGGAUCCCUUGGAGUCGUGCCUGGCCGAAUGCAGAGCCUCAUUCCAGAGCUUGCAGCAUGAGAACACCUACCGGGACCCCUAGCAAAGUACUGCCGUGGAGUCAGCCCCGGAGCUCUUU
Molecule: long non-coding RNA, 512 nt
Filed under: Homo sapiens (human)
Lineage: Eukaryota; Metazoa; Chordata; Mammalia; Primates; Hominidae
Description: non-protein coding lnc-ZNF485-7:1
Source: RNAcentral